GAAGGUGCUAGUUAAUAGAGAUUAUGAAAAGUCUUUAGUUUAAUGUGGUUUACAUGGGCCUAAGUAAAUAUAUUUGAAAGGUUUAUAUGGUUGUGAUAAAAUAAGUGUACUGAGAAGGAUAUUAUAAGUAAAUUAAAUAAUAAUAGUAGUAGUUGUGCGUACCUUUUGUAUCAUGGUCUUCUAAGGUUUGUUUGUAUAGCGGCUUCCCGAAAAGGAGUGAUCUAUUUUUUUCCGAGUUCAGCGUGGUAAAGCUGUCUUUUAAGAAAAAAAUAGGGGUGAGAUGCCUGUCGUACUCUUUGAUAGCUGGUUAGCUGAGAGAGGCAUAUAAGUGCUCUUAUAGCAAAUUAGCCUCUUAAGUGUUUGGUGGUUGUGUAUAAUAUGCGGAGAUGACUCCGUGUAUUGUAAUUGUUAUGGGCUAGGUGUAAGGGGUAAGCUCUUGCACUGGUUUAAAGUUAAUUAGUAUAAGUUAUGCGACUGUAGUGGUGUUUAGUGGGCUUGGUGUUGGCCAUCUUUUUGAAAAUUGUUGUAAAAUAACUCCUGAGUGUUGUUUAUUAAAAUUUGUAUGUGUAUGCUUAAACUGUAGUAUCGGCUUUUUAAGUUUAAUUUUUUACUUAAGUGAUUCUGGAAGGAUGAGUAUAUUGAUUUUUUUUGUUUAAUGUUGUGUGUCGGUUAAUUAUGUUGAAUGUAAUGACUUGUAAGUAGGAUUGAAUGGUAUUUAGUGAUCUAAUUUCUGAAAAGGAACUCGGCAAAAAUUGUGUGCCCCGCCUGUUUAUCAAAAACAUGUCUCUUUGUUAUGUAAAGAUAGGGAGUCUGGCCUGCCCAGUGACUGGAAAGUUAAACGGCUGCAGUAUACAUGACUGUACAAAGGUAGCGUAAUCAUUUGCCCUUUAAUUGGGGGCCCGUAUGAAUGGUUUGACGAGGGCACAACUGUCUUUUUGUGAAAUACAUAGAAAUUAUUUUUUAGGUGAAAACUCCUAAGUCUUGUUGGGGGACGAGAAGACCCUAUUGAGCUUUAGUGAUGUUUCUGAUGAUGUCUUAUAGAGUAUUAUAUUGAUAAUUAGAAACGGUUCUUUAGUUGGGGCAACUGAGGGGCAAGCGAAACCCCCUUUAAUAUAAGUGUGGUUGAUAGAUGUUAGAUCCAGUGUGUAUAUACUGAUCUAAAGAAGAAGUUACCAUAGGGAUAACAGCGCGAUUUUUUUGGAGAGUUCUUAUUGAUAAAAAAGUUUGCGACCUCGAUGUUGGACUAAGGUACCCCGAAGGUGUAGCAGCUUUUAGUGGUUAGUCUGUUCGACUAUUAAAAUCUUACGUGAUCUGAGUUAAGACCGGCGUAAGCCAGGUCGGUUUCUAUCUCCAGCUAAGGUGGUAUUGGUAUUUUGGUUAGUACGAAAGGAUUACUUUAAAGUUAAAUUUUAUUUAUUAGUUUGU
RNAcentral lists this ribosomal RNA (1425 nucleotides) under Puncturella cf. parvinobilis. RNAcentral describes it as "large subunit ribosomal RNA". The stretch from base 677 to 1425 matches the Rfam family "Archaeal large subunit ribosomal RNA", at positions 1423 to 2795 of the family's 2987-position model. Lineage: Eukaryota; Metazoa; Mollusca; Gastropoda; Lepetellida; Fissurellidae. The record is from RNAcentral.